CAGUGAACAGACAGUGACAAUACAGGGCCAGGAAAUACCUCGGGUAAGAGAAUAUAAAUACCUUGGUAUAUGGAUAAACGAAGUCAAUAGAUAUAUGGAAACACAGGAAGAAACAAUAACAGCAAAGGGGAAGAGAAAUGCAGCCGUAAUUAAGCACAGAGCGCUAUGGGGAUACAAUAUGUACGAGGUGCUCCGGGGUAUGUGGAAAGGUGUUAUGGUUUCAGGACUUACUUUUGGAAAUGCGGUUGUUUGCUUUGAAUCAAGGGUAUAAUCAGGACUCGACGGGAACCAAAGGUCAGUGGGUCGCCUCGCAUUGGGCGCUCACGGGAAGACUACAAAUGAAGCUGUGGAGGUUGAUAUGGGAUGGACUAGUUUUGAAGUGAGGGAAUCUCGCAGUAAAAUCGAUAAUGAAGAACUACUGAGGAAUAUGGAAGAAAGUAAAUGGGCUGAGAGAGUGUUGAGGUACGCCCGAUGAGAAGGCUUGAAUUUAGUGUCGACACACAGACACAAUCCUGGGGAAAGUAGCCCUUAACAGCUUCGCCAUAUUUCUUUCUCUAUGUAUUCGCUGCAAUAAAAAAAAAACGCCACGUAGUUCUGCGUCAGUAGCGUCUUUCUAGACGGUGGCCAGACGCCCCAGCAGCUAGCAGACGCCGACAGAAACAGACGGACGCGUAGGAAGCUGCGUCGAUGGCUGCACUGCAAGUGCUGCCGUGGCGAGAAUCGGCGCGGGAGCACAAUCAAGCGUCUUUCCUCUCUUCAGAUCACUAUCAUUAAGUAGUCCGGCAGCGUUUGGCAGUGCUUUCACGGUGCUUUCGGUUGCUCGGGACAGACGCCGAAUCCACGCAGCUUCCAUGUGCGACGGUUUCGCGUUUGCUCAGACGCGGAAGGGAAAAGCUUCAAAAUAAGUGAACUUUUUACACUCAUUGGUGUAACUUGCUAGCAACAGUUAGUUAACCGUCGCUAGUAAGGUGUUUGUGUUUUAUUUUCCCCAUCCAAACCUAACGUCUAAUAAAACGCGGGACUCCUUUCAGAAGCGCCCUCACUUGCGCGCGCUUUGCCUCCGUGGCUUUCCCAUAUAUGGCUUUCUCUUCAUAACCACAGAAAGUUGUCCGCGAGCGCUCCAGUGCGGACGUGGUUCGUAGCACGCGAGCUACUUCUUGAAGAUAAACUAAGAAGAAAAAAAAAAAGAAAGAAAAGCAAAUCGCGUGAUCUGCGAAGCUCGUGGCUCAUGCUCGGCUGGACUACCCGACGAGCCACCAUUCUUCUGACGUGGCCAUCGAACGAGAAGGACGUGCCCGGUGCGCGGUCCAUCAGGCUGGCGGUGGCCGCCGUUCCAGGCCGCGAGCGAAGUCAACGGAGGCCUACGGACUGGCCACACCGCUUCUGAGAAUGGGGACCGGCAGAGACGCAGCUCACCCAGCCAUCGUCUUUGUGACAGGGAGGGCACCCAAGGUGUGCCGGCGUUAGGUCCUGGACACGUCAUCGCAGACACGCGUACUCGGAGAGCCCUUGGAGCUGUUUGCCAAUACACGGCGCCUUCGUGACGCAUACCGUCGGCUUCCAAGGGCCGCGGGAACAGCCCCAGCGCGACCUACUGUGGCAUCCACUUCAGAUGAUCGCAGGUGAUCGUCAUCCUUCCGUAGAAACCAAAUCGACAUUGAGCAAUGGCGACCGCAGAUGGCCAGAGAGGAAGCCCGAAGCAAUUGGAAUUCCCUGUGCGGUUCUGGAUGCCAUUUUGUGUCCUCAUCAGUUCGUGCGCAGAGAAGAGGGCGCCGACGGUGGCAGACAUCCGCUGUUGCGAUCGGUCACGUGCGCGGCCGUUACGCGCUCUUCUGAGACAGUCAUCACUGCUGUCCCUGCUGGUUUAGCAGCCUACUCGGGGAGCCCUCGCCAGCCGACUGCUUUGGGGCAAGACAGUGCCUUCGUCAUUCCUGUGCGAGAACGGAUUGCAUUCUAUGGACACGCGCGGCCUACUGUGGCAUCCACUUCAGACGACGGCAGGUGAUCGUCAUCCUUUGUAGAAACCAAAUCGACAUUGAGCAAACGACGAAGUCCACAUUGAACAAAUGAGCAAGUCGACAUUGAGCAAUGGUGACCGUGAACGGCCAGAGAGGAAGCCCGAAGCUAUUGCGGGCGCCUACUGCUACAUACGCUUCUGCUGAUUGCUGAGUCAUGGUUGCUUCGAAGCAAGACGAGUCGAUGCUGAGCAAAGGAGCCCAGAGCUGCCGAAAUGGACAUCGGGUGUUUCCCUGUGCGGUUUCGGAUGUCGUGGAAUGCCACCAUUGUUUCCCAUUUGGUGCACUGAGAAGGGUCUAGAAGCCUACUCGGGAGAGCCCUCGCCAGCCGACUGCUGUGGGCCAAGACACAAUGCCUUCGUCAUUCCUGUCUGCGGACGUAACGCCACAUACGGCCGUGUGCGGUCUACUGUGGCAUCCAAUCUAACGGAUCGUGUCUGUGGCCGAAUUACCGAGGCGGAGACCAAUACCAAUGGACAUCUACGUCGAUUGUCGCCUGCACGCACACGCAUCUCGGAGGCCGUCAGGGGAUGCCUCGUAACGCUUUCGCGCGACCUACUGUGGCAUCCACUUCAGGCGAUCGCAGGUGGUCGUGACUGCUGCGUAGAAACCGAGUCGACAUUGAGCAAUGGAGCUCGAAGUUGGCCAGAGAGGAAGCCCGAAGCUUGAAUUGCGGGCGCCUACUGCUACAUACGCUUCUGCUGAUCGCCGAGUCAUGGUUGCUGCGAAGAACACGAGUCGACACUGAGCAGAGGGACCAAGAGCUGCGGAGGCCAACACGAGUCGACACUGAGCAGAGGGACCAGGAGCUGCGGAGGCCAACACGAUUGGAAUUCCCUGUGCGGUUUCGGAUGUCGUGGAAUGUCAGCACUUAUAUUCCAACUUGUGCACUGAGCAGUGCGGUCUACUGUGGCAUCCACACAAGCCGAUGGUUGGUGGUCGUGAUCUUUCUGCAGACAUCGAGUCGACACUGAGCAAUGGAGUUCGAACUCACCUAGAGUGAGAGCGGACGCUAUUGCAGCGCCUACUGCUACAUACGCUUCUGCUGAUUGCUGAGUCAUGGUUUCAUCGGACAAGACGAGUCGACGCUGAGCAAAGGAGCCCACAGCUGUUGAGGCCAACAUAACUGGCUGCACCGACGGCCCUGACAUCCGCUGUUACGAUCACGUGCAAAGCCGUUACGUGCUCUUCAGCGAGGCAGUCAUCGCUGCUGUCCGUGCUGUACCUCACUAUUAGCAAGGUUUAGCAGCCUACUCGGAGAGCCCUCGCCAGCCGACUGCUGCGGGCCAAGACACAGUGCCUUCGUCAUUGCCGCCGGCU
Dermacentor andersoni is the source of this 3335-nucleotide non-coding RNA. Lineage: Eukaryota; Metazoa; Arthropoda; Arachnida; Ixodida; Ixodidae. The record is from RefSeq and is a predicted model, not a curated record.